UGAUGAUUACGAUGAUGACAAUGAACUCCAUGCACAGAAGGUUAGAUUAUUUAAAUAAUUAGUUGUAUUUUUCUUGGUUUAAUAUACUUACUGCCUUGUAUAUUUACUAUUCAAUCUAGUUUAAUAAACUCAUUAGUUCAUAUAAUUAAUAUUCAUAGGAGCCAGAUAAUUUAGGCAACUCGCCAAGAAACGCUACAGCAGCCAUUUCAAGGAAAAGUCCAAGACUCAAUCCUUCAAUUCCAAAGGAUUGUACAAAUGAUGAGAGGAAAAGAGUUGGAAGCAGUAAAAAGCAAUUGGACUUUGACUAUGCUAAUGGUAUAUGCGAGAUUCAUCUUGAUAGCCCAACAAAAAAGGCACUUUUGAAGAAGGAUAAAGCCAAAAAAAUUGUAGUGCAGCCUAU
RNAcentral lists this long non-coding RNA (400 nucleotides) under Citrus x clementina. Its description in RNAcentral is "Citrus clementina (C. clementina) long non-coding RNA (CCLE_LNC000348)". Lineage: Eukaryota; Viridiplantae; Streptophyta; Magnoliopsida; Sapindales; Rutaceae. The record is from RNAcentral.